GGUGGUUUGGCGCGUUGUUCGUGAAAACUCACAGCUUAACUGUGGGCGUGCGGGCGAUACGGGCAGACUGGAGUACUGCAGGGGAGACUGGAAUUCCUGGUGUAGCGGUGGAAUGCGCAGAUAUCAGGAGGAACACCGGUGGCGAAGGCGGGUCUCUGGGCAGUAACUGACGCUGAGGAGCGAAAGCGUGGGGAGCGAACAGGAUUAGAUACCCUGGUAGUCCACGCCGUAAACGGUGGGUACUAGGUGUGGGUUUCCUUCCUUGGGAUCCGUGCCGUAGCUAACGCAUUAAGUACCCCGCCUGGGGAGUACGGCCGCAAGGCUAAAACUCAAAGGAAUUGACGGGGGCCCGCACAAGCGGCGGAGCAUGUGGAUUAAUUCGAUGCAACGCGAAGAACCUUACCUGGGUUUGACAUGCACAGGACGCUGGUAGAGAUAUCAGUUCCCUUGUGGCCUGUGUGCAGGUGGUGCAU
This 473-nucleotide ribosomal RNA is filed under the name uncultured Mycobacterium sp. Its description in RNAcentral is "bacterial SSU rRNA". It matches the Rfam family "Bacterial small subunit ribosomal RNA", at positions 574 to 1046 of the family's 1533-position model. The record is from RNAcentral. Lineage: Bacteria; Bacillati; Actinomycetota; Actinomycetes; Mycobacteriales; Mycobacteriaceae.